Molecule: ribosomal RNA, 329 nt
Filed under: uncultured eukaryote
Lineage: Eukaryota
Description: partial 18S ribosomal RNA
Rfam family: Eukaryotic small subunit ribosomal RNA
Source: RNAcentral
CCCUUAGAUGUUCUGGGCCGCACGCGCGCUACACUGACGGAGGCAGCGAGCGUGUCCUUCGCCGGCAGGUGCGGGCAAUCUUGCGAGUCUCCGUCGUGCUGGGGAUAGAUGGUUGCAAUUGUCGAUCUUGAACGAGGAAUUCUUAGUAAGCGCGAGUCAUCAGCUCGCGCUGAUUACGUCCCUGCCCUUUGUACACACCGCCCGUCGCUACUACAGAGUGCCCGUGUCCAAGAAACGGUCGGACCUGUGCGGCCUCUCCGGGCGACCGGAGGGCCGUUACGGGGAAGACCCUUUAUUUGACGCGGGUCGAUGAAGUAAAAGUCGUAACA